ACAGCCAGGAUUUUGAGACAGAGUCUGGCUCUGUCGCCCAGGCUGCAGUGCAAUAGCGCAAUCUUGGCUCACUGCAACUUCCUCCUCCUGGAUUCAAGCGAUUCUCCCGCCUCAGCCUCCCGAGUAGCUGGGAUUACAGGAGUGCGCCACCACGCCCGGCUAAUUUUUGUAUUUUUAGUAGAGCUGAGGUUUCACCAUGUUGGCCAGGACCAACCAUGUUGGUCAGGAGUCUUGGACUCCUGACCUCAGGUGAUCCUUCUACCUUGGCCUCCCAAAGUGCUGGGAUUACAGGCGUGAGUCACCGCACCCAGCUGCCAAGAGCCAGGAUUUGAAAUCAGACUGUCUGGCUCCAGAUCCCAGGCUCUCAAGCACUUUCAAUAAUAACAAUGAUAACAAUAAUACCUACUCUACUGUGCGAAGACUGUGUGCCUAACCCCGGGCUUGGGGCCAUUUCAUCAGCUCUGCCUGAUGCUGUGAAGCAGAUUGCCAGGCCUGUUGUCCAGGGGUAGACUGAGGAUCAGAGAAGGGAGGCCCCUUGCUGGGGGCUACCUGGUCGUCAUAACUUGUCCAGUGCCUGUCCUGGCAGUUCUGAGGAGCACCUCCCUAACAACACCCAUGCUGAGGUAUCCAGGCCGCCUUCAGGUUCCUGAACAGCCGGCCCUUUCAUUCUUCUCCCAGAGGCCUCCCUAAGCCCUUGGGAGGUAGGCAGCUUGCAGCCUUCUCCCCACGGGGCCCAGAUAGGGCAGACCAUGUUCAGUGGUAUAGUAAGGUUGCAGGCUUCGUCCCUUCUGCUGGCCCGUGCCAGGGCCUGACCCUCCAUCAGAGGGCAGCAGGUGUGAGGGGGCGGCCCAGGGCAGCCUGCCUGCUCCUGCCCCCAGCCAGGCAUUUGCUUCCGCUGGGGGACUUGCUGGGGCAGGCGGCUGGCAUUCUCCACAUUCUGCGCAUGGCAUGGCCAGCCAGCUGCCGUUGCCACCUCCCUCUGACUCUUCCCACCUGCUCCCCAGGAGAGGAUCCCGCCCCAGGGCCUGCAGCCCCAGUCCAGGAGGCCAGAUGUCUCAGCCCCAUUCCUGGUAUGGCCUCCCUCCCGGCUCCCAGCUUCCUGCCUGGCUUCCCCUUAUUGACGGGCAUUGUUUCUUGUCCUGGGCCUCUGUCUGGCAGUCUGGCUCUGUCUGUCUGUCUUAUCCUUGGCUUGCUCUAUCUCUGGUCUCUAUUUCUAGGUCGAUACGUGUGUCUCUUUUGGGACCUCUAUCUGUCUGACUCUUCUUUGAGUCUGGGGGCUCCCUAUGUCUUCCUGGGUUUGUCUGUCUCUAGACUUCAGUCCUUGUCUGAGCUUUCAGCCCACCCUCCUUCUGUUUUGGCUGCCAGUCUUGGCAUCCUGUGUCUCUGGGCCAGCCUUGGCUUCUCUUUGGCCCUCCCACUCCCACUCUUUGGAUGGACUUGCUGCCCCCAUGCCAGCCUCCCAGCCCCACCCUGUGCAUAUCAGGUGUUCUAUUCUUUUAAGACAGUGGGCAGUUGCCAAGCACCAGGUCUCCUACUUCCUUCUUGGGGAGUGUUGGGAGGUUGUCCAGGCCGGGGAGUCCCCUCAUGCUCUUUGACAAAUUAACUGCCUACUACUGUCCCUGAAAUCUGUUGAGAAGUGUUGAGAUCCAUCCUGCAGACCCAUCCACCAUCCAAACACCUGUUCCCAAGACAGGCAGGAAGGCAGGGGCUAUAUGGACCAAGCUAGGAGAUCCGGCUGUGGGGGGCGGCAGGAAAGAAGCUUCUGUGCCCACCCACGUGCUAGAGGGCAUGACCCAGGUCACCCUACCUCCCCCGCUACCCCUUGCCUUUCAUUUGAUGCCAGCUUCAUUGAAACGAGUCUCAGAUAUAGUGCACCCCAAUGGGUAGGGCCUCAGAGACCAGGCAGUACCCACCAACUAUGCUUGGGCAGGUGGGGAAAAAGAGGGGCCAGAGGGGUUAAGCCUGGGUCUCCUGACUCCCCAGAUCCAGGUACUGCC
Molecule: long non-coding RNA, 1997 nt
Organism: Macaca fascicularis (crab-eating macaque)
Lineage: Eukaryota; Metazoa; Chordata; Mammalia; Primates; Cercopithecidae
Source: Ensembl